This is a long non-coding RNA of Ipomoea triloba (trilobed morning glory), 3824 nucleotides long. RefSeq lists it as uncharacterized. The transcript has 2 exons. The record is from RefSeq and is a predicted model, not a curated record. NCBI's taxonomy places the organism in Eukaryota, Viridiplantae, Streptophyta, Magnoliopsida, Solanales, Convolvulaceae.
AUGGUGCUAACACAAUUAUCUAAUCUUUUAUAUUUCCAAAUUGGGGCCCGGUUUGAUUCGAUUCGCCAAACAAUUCGAAUUUGAAUGGAUCGCCGUCCAUACUUAUUUACUUGAUCGUGUAUAAUCCGGCGGGAAGAGCCGGCGCCGCUGUUUUAUCCUCGGCGGAGGCUUCUCCGUCGCCGUAUCAUCGGUUUCUCCGUCACCGCCGAGGUUGUCUGUGAUCGGCGAUCGCCACCUUCAUCGCAGCUCGCAAAGCUAUUAUCGGCUUCUCGCUGAUCUCACGAGGGUUGAGGCUUUUGGGCUUUUCAAAGGGAUGGUUGGAUUAUGUUUCUUUAAAUUCUGCAGUAUUGGCAAAUGGGUACUAGUGGAUCAACUGCUUUUCUAACAUGCAGGACUCUCAAUGAAUGUAUUAAAUAUGGUAAUUGUGAUCCCACAGGUAUAAUUUUACUUGUAGCUGUGUAUUUAUUCAUUUCCUGUCACUAUCUUGGCUUCUUCCUUCUUAUUUCAAGAAAGCAGUACAAGGGUCAUAAACUAGCAUUAACUAUACACACUGAAUCACUGAUUUUGGGGGUUUCAACAACUUUUGGGUCAUCAAGUAUCAUCUGAAUCUUUUCCAUUUAACCAAAUGUGUCUGAAAGAGAAGAAUAGUACUCAGAAAUCUGAAUGAAAUGUGUAUUUAUUCAGUUUUGCAUGCUGAUUAACAUUUAAUAUGUGCAUUCAUUGCAUAUUUGCAUUACAUUAGAAUAUUGGUUUGUAUAGUGGCUAAAUGCUUGCCCAUUGCAUAUUCUCCAUUCUCUGUUUUUUUUUUUUCCCUCAAGACACUGUGUUUGUUUAUGGUCUUCUAUGAUUUAGAAAGGUUAAAUUAAAACUAUUCUACAUACAUGAUAACACUUAUAAAUGGCAAACUUCGUGAGAUACAAAACUAGUGAUCAUGGUGAUUACAAGGAUAGCCAAUUUAAAAAGAGAGGUUAAGUAAAAGUAAUCUCAUGCUGUCAUGCAUAUGCAAAUGCUUGUUUCUUCAGCUAUUGUAAGGUCCUGAUCUCUCCAGCACAAAGACAUCCAUCUGUCAGAACAUUUAUAUGGCCAUAUGGGGCAUGGUAUUAUUUACUUCAAUUUACUGCUAACAUUGGCUUGGACAAAGAUUCCAUACAUGUAUCUAUCACAUCAUUUAAUAAAGUUGCUUCCAACUUAUGGGGAAAACUUCUGGUUUUCUACAAAUCUUCCCUAUAUUAUAAUUCAUAGUAGCUUUUUUUUUUUUUUUGGACUAAAAUCCUUUAGCCAAGUAAUGUCUAGGAGAACAAUGAUCACAAGGAAAUAUAUUACAGAGUAGUGAAGUUAUUAACUGAAAUGAUAUUUGUAUUCCUAUUAAUCACUUCCUAUCUUAAUACAGUUUUGUCAGAUGACUUAAAUUAUAUAUAGGUAAUAUUUUGGCGCGAUCAUCAGAAAUUCAUCAUUUUAUAGCCUUUACAUCUGACCAGUGCACGUAAUGUGGGGGUGUUAAUUAUAGUGCCAUGUCAUUAUGCAGUAGAAGUGAAUCAUAAUUAGUAUUCUACUGUGAUUAUAUGGAAUUAUGAAUUAUUUUCUUAGCUAAUUGUGCAGAUAAAUGUUCUGUGGCUAAUAAUCCGGAAAGCAAAAGAAGCUUCAAUAAUGGAUUCCAGGAUCAUUCUCGAGAGUACAUUACCAAUUAAAAUAUGUUGCAUAUUGCUGCUUGGAUAUAUUGCUAAGAAAUAAAUUUAAAAAACAUCAGGUUUUUUGCAUAUUAUUUGUCUGAUUGGUUAUUAAGGGACACACAAAAAUGUCCAGGAAUCUCACCUAUUUUAUGCAUGAAAUUGGUGAUUGACCUUAUAGAAUGUGUUUAUGGCCAGUGAUUCUUGUGAGUUGUGCUGAUGGAAACCUUGAUUAAGAUUUGUCCGCUAUUUUGAGUUUUGUAUUGGGGAAGCUGGGCUAAUUUUGUAUGGAGGACCCCUUUAUUAAUAUUCUCUUUUUCUUGCUUUCAUCUGAACUUGAGAAUAAAUUCUGAUGCAUGGUUAUUGCAUUUAUACUAUCUAGAAAAAGCUGGUCUGUAGUCAGUUCACCAUUUUAAUAAUGAAAAUCUGCUGGCAAUGUUUCAUUUAAUCAUCACCAGAAAUUUUAAAUAAGCAUGUCUGAAAUGACAGAGUAAAAUGCUUUAGUAGGUCUUUAAUGUGUUAAUGAUAUCCUUGGCUAGGCUAAUGUCUAUUUAAGAUGGGAGAUGUAGAAGAUUGGGAAAAGGCCUCUGGGAUGGGACAUUUUUUUAAUAUUUUGUAGAUAUUCUUUAUGGAAAGGAGAAAGACUAUACUGAAAAUGAGACCUUAGCUGCCAUCCUUUCCUUAUUGUAAAAAGGAAAGAAUUAGAACCAAUGAAUCGGUUCUUAUUAAUACACAACUAUUACCUUUUUGAGUUUUUGGGAAAAUGUCUUAUCAUUUUUUGUGAAAGUUCUCUGUUUUGCAGACAUUACAUUAACUAAGAAUUCUUUCUCUGUUUUAAAAGUUGUUGUAUGUGCUAAACUUGGCAUAUAAUGAUGCUUAGUCCUUGCUGGCAAAUGCUGUAAAAGAAUAAACUUGCAAAUCAAUCUGAGUCUGAUAUGACUGUACAAGUGAAUCAGAUCCGUUCAUGAUCCUUGGACUUUUUUGUCAAUUUUUAUUAGAGUAAUGCUACUCAACCCUCCAAAAUGUUUCUCUCCUUACAUCAAAUUUUGCUAAUUGAACAACUAACUUUCUUUUUAACUAAUGGUGGGGUCGCUCAAUUCAUGUACACUCAAUAAUUAUAAGCUGCAUCAUUUUUGUAAAUAUUACAGGAAAAAUUUAGUGGGGAAAAUAGCAUUUUUCCUUUUUGUUAUUGCUGCAAUCUGAUGGUAUUGGUAUCUACCCUUUGCCAACCCCACUUUGCAGUUCUUUUGAUUACAAUUCAGAAAUCACACACACAAAAGAAAAAACGUAUCUUGCAGUAGUACUGUUUGUUACCUCUAUGCAUUUUACUUAGAGAUACUAGUGUUAUUGCUUUCCUUUUUAAACAAUGAUUUUUGACAGGAGGUAUUAGGAUUAUUAAAAUGUGCUGAACGAUGAGGUAAAAUUCAUGCCCCCCCAAACCUGUUUUGGAAUUCGGGUUAUGAUUUUCUUGAAGUUUGUUUCAUGCAGAGAUGUUAGAAAAAAAGAAAAAAUUAAAGCAGAAAUUCAGUGCUUUUGUUGUUUGAGGAGAUGAUGUCUACUGUCACCGCAUCUGUUUCUGAUUCUGCUUUGCUCUGUUCUGUUCUUUUUCCCUUGGCGUUUGCAGGCACAUACACACACACACAGAGGAGAGGAAAAGGCCCCCCACUUGGAGACGUUCUCAUCCUUUGUUCUGAAAAAUGGAUACAAAAUUCAAAUGGUUGCAAAUGCAGCACGUAAGAGGAAGAAAUUAAAAAUAAAAUAAAAUAAAGGAUGGGUUUGUUUGUUUUUACAGUUAUAUAUAUAUAUAUUAAUUUAAUUUUCAGUGUGUUUCCUUUCUCCCGUCUGCCGGUUCUCCAUACAGCCAUCUACUGCUACUGUCACCCUCCAUUAACCUUGGUGGUCCCUCUGCAGUUUUGCAUGAUGAUAAUGGAUGAUGGUGGUGGUGAUGAUGAUGAUGAACUACCAUGGUACCAUUCCCCUCUCUCUCUCACGUACCACUACAAAUUUGGAUAAGCUUUAAAGCUAACCACUCGGUAAUUUGGAAUGAAUCCACCCUAGUGAUAUAAUCUGUUACUAAUGUAUACAUCUUGUAAUCGACUGUUUAGGCCACUCCAUAAACCCCACCUCUUGUUAGUUCACACGUUCCUUUCCGGUUCA